CGAUUAACGAUUGCGACACGAAGAUGCUAAUUACACGGACGAGUGGAUUUAAAAUACAAGGGGCGUAUUUCAUAGCGCGCUUCCAUGUGCUGGUUAACUGAUUUAAGUCUGAUAUUGAAAUAUUGAAAUUCGAAAAUUGUAAAAGAUACAGUAGAAAAUACAGAUAGAGAUUUAAAUAUGAAACUACAUGCAAACACGCAAUUUUAGAUAAACACACCCUUCAAAAUGAAUGGACUUAUCGACCACCAGCAUCAGCGUGUUAUCAUUUGUAUAAUUAGGCUUCGUGUUAUAAAAAUGGACGAUGUGUAUAAAAUUCGCCGCAAUGUUGUGGUCAUGGCAAAAUGGAAUGUUAGGUCUUUGAAGAUAGAAACAAAAUUAACAACAACAGUAGAUCUACAGUACAGUUGAACUCAGUUCAGUAUACAGUAGACUGCAAUAAAGAUAGUUCUGGCAUGCAUGGAAGAGAUGUCCUUGAGUCACAAUAUUUUCGAUGAUGAAGGUUCAGUUAUAUAUGCAAAAAAGGAGCAAAGUUGAGCUUUUUUGUGUGUUAAGAACCACAUUUCUAGGAUAGGUGAAGUAAGUUUGGUGCCAGGGUCCAGUAUGAAAUUGAAGACGGAGUGACCAACAUUCCCUUCUGGAAGAAAUAGUUUAUUGAUUGACCAUUAUCUUUAAUAUUGGAAGAUGAUAUAUAGGGUGCUCAUACAUUCCUUUUUGAUCAACAACAAUUUAAGUGUGCAUGUUUGUGAAGCAUCCAUAACCUGAAGCA
Molecule: long non-coding RNA, 766 nt
Organism: Ruditapes philippinarum (Manila clam)
Lineage: Eukaryota; Metazoa; Mollusca; Bivalvia; Venerida; Veneridae
Exons: 3
Source: RefSeq, a predicted model, not a curated record